GAGAUGCCUGCAGCGGCGUUACCCUGCGAGCUCUCCCAGAACCAAGCACUGCUCCCGGGGGAGGAGUUCUCCCUGCUUCCGAUGACACCGGGUCUCUGCAGCAACACAGCCCUGCUGCUGCUCCAUGGCACCAAGGAGCUGCCAUGCCGGCGGGCUCGGAUGUUUUGUCGGGCUUGAAUGAUUUGUCGGAUGAAGUAAAGGAUACGCCCCCUGAGCGCACUUUGGGCUAAAAAAUGGACAACUCCUUUGUGGAAGAAGUGGCUGCAUCACUGGUGAGGGAAUUUCUCAGUAGAAAGGGACUGAAGAAAACUAUCAGUACCAUGGACCGAGAGCUUCCACGCUCUGCACUUAGCAUCAAUAACAGGAAUGAACUUCGAAACGUCCUACAUUUGCACUCCUUGUACAAACAGAACAAGGCAAAGGAGAACCCACUUAAAACACUUCUUGAAAUUAUUACUAAGUACUUCCUUGAGCACCGUGGGACCUCCAAAAUCACCGGUUCAAGUUCUACUCUGCCAGCUCCUCAAAGUAAGAGCUCAACAUCUCAUCCACCUGACUUCUCAGAUGAAGAUCAUGCAUUUGGGAGUGCCAGUACGCCUGAUGAGAGCAGAACUCAAACCUCCAGAUACCAUGUUGAGAAUCCACUAGAUAAAAUCCUUUCAUCCAGAAAACACCAGCACAAAAGUGAAAAAUGCCAUACGGAGACAAUAUGCAAUAGCCAAUUAACCUCUGAUGGGGAUAAGAAGUUAAAAGAUAGUCAAGAAGAUUUAAAAGCAACAAUGAUUUCUGAAGAGCUUCAAGCAACAGUGAAGGACAAGCACAGGCCCAGGUCUGGUCUCAUUGUCAGAGGAAUGAUGGCUGGACCAGUAGCAAGUUCACCAGAGGAUCUGCAGAAAAGGAGGCUUUCAAAACGCUCCACUAGCAUAAGCAGCGCAGCCCAGCUCAAAGGUGAAAAAGAGGAAGGAAAUGACCUGAGUGUCCCAAGCAUUGAUUCUCAGGAAAGUAAAGAAACUUCAACACAAGUAAAUACAGAGUUUUCACCAAGGACUUUGUCAAGCUCACACACGAUUUCAGCUUCUGAAAAACUAAGAAACAUCCCCAAAGAUACAGAUGACUUUUUUGCCAAACUGUUCUCUGAAAGAGGGAGGACGAAGACAGAAGAAAGAAAAUUGGUUCCAAACUUUUAUACAGAAAGCAAUGAAAAAAGCCUUAAAGUGAGUGCCUCUCACAGACAUUCAGGGACUGGAAAAGAGAAGAAAGAAAGGUCCCUCAAGAAAAGUGAGAAUUGGUUAUCAGGCCUCAGGAAGUCUCCAACACCUACUUGGAAUAAAGAAGACCAGACAAAAGAUGUCCUAGAAUUAGUUGAUGUUGAGGAUGAAGCAACAACUGGAGAAGUCAGUAAGAACCUGAAUCUUUCAACACUGCAUAUGCUUCAAGAAGUAUCAGUAUCAAAGGCAAUUGAUAUCUCGCUUGCAAAAGAAUUAAAAAAUCUUUUGUUUGGCUCCAGUCUUUGUUGCUUCAGUGAAGAAUGGAAAAUACAGAGUUUUACAUUUAAUAACAUACCUCAGUUAAAAUAUGGCAUUGUGCAAAAAAAGGGUGGCCCAUGUGGAGUGCUGGCAGCAGUUCAAGCAUGUGUCCUACAGCAGCUUAUCUUUGGAGACAGUAACAGGAAUAAAGAUGCUCGCUGUCUUCAGCCUUCAGAAGUGCACAGGACCAAAUGCCUCACCAUGGCUCUUGCAGACAUACUGUGGCGUGCAGGAGGCAAUGAAAAAGCAGUUGUGGCAUUGCCAUCAGGAAGACAGCAGUUCACUCCCAUAGGAAAAUACAAGGCAGAUGGAAUCUUAGAAACUCUAAUACUGCAUAGUUCCACAAGAUAUGAAGAUCUGAUUGUACUUCUUCAGCAGAAUAUUCACCAGUUUGAAAUUGGCCCCUGUGGGUGCAUUCUUCUGACUGUGUCUGUCAUCUUAUCAAGAUCUAUCAAUCUGGUGCGCAAUGAUUUUGAUGUGCUUACGAACCGUUUGAUCGGCAGCCAUGGCUAUUGUACUCAGGAAUUAGUGAACUUGCUUUUGACUGGCAAAGCUGUGUCCAAUGUUUUCAAUGAUGUGAUAGAGCUGAAUUCUGGAAAUGGAAAUAUUACAAUCUUGAAAGGCAUCACAAGCCGCAGUGAUAUUGGUUUGCUGUCUCUCUUUGAGCACUACGAUGUUUGCCAGGUUGGUUGUUACUUGAAGACCCCUAAAUAUCCAAUUUGGUUGGUGUGCAGUGAAAGCCACUUCAGUGUGCUUUUUUGUUUGGAAAAGGAUUUACUAAGUGACUGGAAAACAGAACGGAGAUUUGAUCUAUAUUAUUAUGAUGGCUUGGCCAACCAGGAAGAGGAAAUACGGUUAACAGUUGCGAAUCACAUAUUUUCUACAGGUAGCAAGUACAAGUCUCCUGAUCCUGAGCCUUACAUGCAUGUGGUAAAGUGAGCAGAGAAGACACAACUCAGAUGUUCACUGAAGAUAAAGAAAAUGAUCUUAUUCCUCCACUUGAGCACUGCAUUAGAACAAAGUGGCAAGGAGCUGUUAUUGACUGGAAUGGCACAGAACCAAUCUUGUGACUGACCUGACCCGCACUUUAUUUGUAAAGAGAAAAAAGGGAAAUGACAGAACUAGCACAUUCCUAUUCCCACCAAUACAGGAAAUAGGACAAGAGUUAUGCUGUUUAUGAUGAGGAAGAAUGACAUGGUUGUGUGCAGGCUGGAAGAGUUUCACCUCAUUCACCUCAUGCUUCGGAUAUUUUGCUUAUAAUAUAAACGACACUUACAUAAAUUCUUUGAGACUGAUUAUAACAUACAGUUUCUGAGCGUUGACUGAGUUUCCCAUGCCAAAUGAUGGUUACAGACGAAGCAGUGAAGUUGUCAAUGUCCCCUUGAGGUCUCUUUCUGGAUCUACUCUGUAUCCUGCAAUUGUUUCCAAAAAUCUGAUGAAAGAAGCUGAAUCCAUUUCUGUCACUGUACCUGCUUUCUCUGUGUUGCCUAAUUAUUCACCUACAACACUACAGCGCAAGUAUAAAAUGUCAUCCAAGAAAUAUAUAUAUUCACCUUGUUACCUUAUAUUAAUAAGUCUCAUUUUGCACUGAAUGUAUUGGUGAUCACAUGGACUUCUCAGAUAGAGCCAGACCUACACAAAGUUCUUGUGUUCUAAAAUUUGCAGUAAAGCUUCAGUUUUCUGUUAACAGAACAUACUGGUAUGUUCCUUGUUCUGGGUGAAAUUCUGUGGUGCACAGUGCCUCACACUGAUGUAGUUCAUUUCCUUUCUGGAUGGGAGAAAGAUGUUUAAAUAUCUUUUAUAUCAGUGUAACUGCUUAUACUCUAGGUUUUAUUUACACUGAAGUGCUAGAUAAAAUUUGUGGUUUGCUUCUUCAUUAUUACAAGAAAACAGAAAUGCUGUUAGGUUUGCGAUGUAAAGAGUGAUAGAGGAUCUGUGAUAGAUACUGUUUUUUGUGAUUAAAUAAAAUGCAUGUGUGAAAAUGGUGUACUGUGGAGAUGUACCGUAAGGUACUAAAAGAACAGUUUGUAUUAUGAAAUGAAUUCUUUAUUUUGGCAACAUUUUACUAAAAUUGGAACAAGCUACUGAAGACUAGAAAAAAUGCUUUUGAAAAAAAUAUUUGCCAGCAGAAAAGCUGCAGGUAAAUGGUGUUUCUGGAAUGAUUUGUCUCACUUAAAAGUAAGUAUUUCAUGAGAGUUUAAUACAAGACUUUUACUUGCUGAUAUUUAUCAUAGCACCUUCCUGGUCACUAUGAAAACUUUGAGUCCAGAUAAACUAGGUGCUAUUUUCAAAAUCAAUUUCUAACAAAAAUUAAAUAUCCUACUGUGUGUAGCCUAGAGAUAUAAAACAGUCUGUGCAAAUACAAAUUUUAGGGAAUUAGCACUUGAUAUAGAUUUGGAAACUGACUUGAGUAUAAACCAUAACAUACUACCAGAAAAGUUUAGUCUGUGAAUGUACAUCUGUCUCCCCCUUUGCUUCUCAUUUACAUCAAGAUAUCUAUGUGCAGUAAAGCAUAUCAGAGUUGCAGUUAUUUCAAUUUUAUUUGUUUCAGUGUAAUUUGUUUUAGAUCAGAUAGGCAAACUUCCUUCUUUACACUUUGUGAGAUGAAGAUCUCCCAUUCAGCCUUGAAGCCAUAGACAGCAUCAGAUUCCUUACUCAGAGCCCAUUCCUGACUCUCCUACAGGAAUAUUACAUUGCCCCCUUCAUCUCAGUGUAUUUAGGGAUAUGUUUGUACUGUCAGCUGUAGGUGGACUAAAGACUGCCUUUAGGAUGCAUUCAUCUAAACUUCAAGCACACCAGUUCCUUGGUAAGACAUUGCCUCAGUGAGCUUCAGUAUUUCUAGGAGUUGGAGAUCCCAAAUGUUCAAGGAUCCCAGAUCCAGGCGAUUCAAUAAUACAGCUUGAAAAAUCACAGACAUAACGUUGGCUGAGUGUGUUGUCAGGCGGUCUACCAGCCUGCAUAAAACCUUUGCUCUUUUAUUUAUUUAUUAUUUUUUAUGAUCUAUAGUCCACACUUUGUUUCAUGGUAUGAAUAUAGUCUGAUUUUCCCAGCUGCCUCACAGGGCAGCUAUAACAUAAGACUUUUCACAGAAUGCAUUUGGACAGAAAAUAGUGUAGAGAUGAAAAUUCCUUUCUGAAUUUUUCAAUUUAUUAAACCUACACCGUUUGCUUUAAAAGCACUGCUUUAAACUAUGUCAGUUUGGAGGAGAUGACUUUCCACUCCCAGAUGGAAGAGCAGUGAACAUAAGUGUUCCCCUGGGGAGGAAGAGAGCUGCCUUUUUACAGCCCUGAUUUCAUCUGAUUAAAAUAUGGAUGUCUCCAGUGCAGAUGUGCUUGGAGGAGCUGUUUCUCUGGGCUACCUUUAGAGUUGAAACAGAUAGUAAGAUGUGAUAUAUCUUUGCUUUUGGGCAAGAAGAAUUAUGAUCCAGACUAUAGGAUUAUAAACUGAGUAUAGCUGGAGCCUAAGGGGAUAGCCUUGGAUCAACUUCACCCUUAAAGAUGUAAGGAUUUUUCAGGACAUAACAAAGAGUUCAAGAUUAAUAAAUAGGCAUGGAAAUGGAUUAUAUAUUUUUUUUUUCUUAUUUUGAAGCAUAAAUGAAGAUCAGAGGGAGCCCUGAGCUCUGUUUCUCUUUUUAAAUCAGUCUGCAAAGACUUUUGAGGCUCCAUCCUCACUGGUUAUGGAUAAUAAUUUUGUUGAAUAUUAAUUUCUAUUCCAGCAGAAUCCCAGUGAGCCAGAUCUUUCAUAUUCAUUAUCUGUAAUUAAGUCCCCAUAUAUUUGUUAUGCAAAGUCCACUGUCUGCCAUCUGUUUAAGAUGGUCUAACUCAAGAUUCACCUGUGCCCUCACUCACAAAGGCAGAAAUAAAACACUUGGACCAAAACUACCACCGCUGUAGGGUAAUUCCACCAAGCUUGAGCACAGAAUUGCUAAGCCCCUUCCACCAUCUUUGCUCCUGGAGCCUACAGGCAGUACCUGCCUUCUCCAGGGCUCAACGAUGCUGCCCUUACUAGGCAAGAGAGAUGGCUCUUGAGAUUUACUAAGGCAUCUUUCAGUAAAGAGGAAAUGUGUAACAAAAUUACUCGUGUAGAGCUACCUCUUCUGCAGAAACAAUCAAAUCAACCAACCCUAAAACUAAAACAAAACAAAAAACCAACCAACAAACCAAAACACAUUAAAAAAAAAAAAAAAAGAAUGAAAAAAAAGAAACCUGAGUAUUGCCUCUCUCACUUUCUGCAUCAAGACUUAUAUAUUUCAAUUUGAUAGCAAAACACAGGAGGUUAUUUAAGAUAUCACAGAGCUUUUUCAAUCAAAUGAUCAGGCAAGACGAUACAAAAUGUCAUAUGGCAAUACAAAAACCUUUGUACAGACCUGUGCGAAUUCAUAUCCUGUUGUAGCAGUUUACAUCUAGUUUUUUUAAUUACUUUUUCCUUUUCAUUGUUUCCCAUUUUCUUUUUCAUUGCCUGAUAAACGUGACUUCCUGAAGUGAACAAAGCAAGGAGUUGCUAAUUGUACAUUAAAAGACACUGGCACUUGGCCUCUAUGUAUAUCUUAAAUUCAUUCUCUUUCCUUCUGUGAUAUAAAAAAUGCACCCUCUGCUGAAAUGUGAUGCCUUAGCUAACAACAGAGAUGGCAUAUUGUAUAUGCAGAAUGUCUAAUCAGAAGUGCUAUUUUGGUAAGGUGUCAUAUAUAUCGCAUUUGUGCAAAAUGUAUAUUUAAUUUUGUCUUGUACAGAAUGUCUCAUACAAAUAAAACAUUUAAAGCAAAGAUAAUAGUAA
This is a non-coding RNA of Anas platyrhynchos (mallard), 6299 nucleotides long. Lineage: Eukaryota; Metazoa; Chordata; Aves; Anseriformes; Anatidae. The record is from RefSeq and is a predicted model, not a curated record.